RNAcentral lists this non-coding RNA (175 nucleotides) under human gut metagenome. Its description in RNAcentral is "Lysine riboswitch". It matches the Rfam family "Lysine riboswitch aptamer". Rfam says of the family: Riboswitches are metabolite binding domains within certain messenger RNAs that serve as precision sensors for their corresponding targets. Allosteric rearrangement of mRNA structure is mediated by ligand binding, and this results in modulation of gene expression. This family includes riboswitches that sense lysine in a number of genes involved in lysine metabolism, including lysC. The record is from RNAcentral.
ACAAUAGAGGCGCAGGGAACAGGGUACUUUUGUCCGGAAUGGCGGAUCAUUCGAUGGGGCAGGGGGAAGGGGUUCCUUGCCGAAGGGGUGUGUGGUCCGAACGCAUGCUUCUGGGGGCUUUGUGUAAGCAAUGUCACUGUCAUGUUUUCUUCUGAGAGCAUGGAGCGCUAUUGGU